This 2284-nucleotide long non-coding RNA is filed under the name Daucus carota (carrot). Its description in RNAcentral is "long non-coding RNA (DCAR_LNC000810)". Lineage: Eukaryota; Viridiplantae; Streptophyta; Magnoliopsida; Apiales; Apiaceae. The record is from RNAcentral.
UUGAAUUUGACUCGACUCAAAAAAAAAUAUCUUUACAGAAAUAAUAUAUUAAUUCUUCGCUAAUGAUUCGUAACCGUGUCAAUAUAUUUUAGAUCGUGUUCACACAAAUGUGUCAGAUUAAACGAAAUAGAAGAUUGUUAGAAAUUGUUCAUGAUAAAUAACUAAUUUUUUAAGAUGUGUUAAAAAAAUAUAUAUAUAUGAACCGACUGAAAACGGGCAAACAAUAUCAAAGUUUUGAGUUCUGAUUAGUUAACAAACCUAUCAAUAUUUUCGUUUAGUUGACAAGGCUUCCUAAUACUCCCUCCGUCCCAUUUUAGUUGUCACAUUUGGUUUUGUGCCGGUCAAAUUGACCAAAGUUUGACUGAAAUUUAUUAAUAUUUUAUCAAUUGAAAAAAUAAAAAAAAUAUGUCACCGGAAAUAACUUUUAAUCUACUUUAAGAUGUAAUUUUCAGUUUUUUAAAAUAAUGAAAGAGUGACUUGUAAUCCUUGGUCAAAAAUUAGUCAAUUUGACCAACAAAAAAGGAAAUGUGACAACUAAAAUGGGACGGAGGGAGUAUUAAAGUUGAUACCAAUACUAAGCAAAACAAUCACAUCAUCAGUAUAUUACUCUAUGAAUUAAGCUGUUUCCUGGAAGCUGCACAUCCUUUGUGAUGUUGAGCUAGCCUGAUGUAUUCAAGGACAACAUAGUAAUAAAUCCAUUCAACAUUCAGCAUGCUCUUAUCUUGACUUUGACCAUACCACCUUUAAAAACUCCACUAUAUAAACCAUUCAAACUAUGCUUCAAAUUUGAUACCUAACUCUCCCAACAACCAUGAACAACCACCCUAAUGCUUCCACUGAUCACCACCAGUGGCUGCAUUACUAUAACCAACAGACCCCCGAUGCCGCUUAUGAUCCGGCAGCCAUGACGUCUGUCGGCGGUGGUGGCAACGGUUCGGGUUUUUCGGAUACCACUAGUACUAUAGUGACCACAAGUUUUACCACAAACAAUACUUCAAGCCCAAGUAAAUCAACUUCUUUAGGUAACACUGAUGUUCAUCUCAACCCUCAAGCCUCAGUAGGGAAGCCUAUUCGGAGAAGGUCAAGGGCGCCAAGGAAGAACCCGACGACGCUGCUUAAUGCAAGCACGACGAACUUCAGGUCCCUUGUGCAGCAAUUCACUGGUUGUCAGAAUACAAAGGCAACCUCAUUUGGUUCACGCAAGGGUCCGGUUAACUUGAGCUUUGGCAUGCCUAGGAAUAUGCAGAAUGAUCAUCAUAUUAUUAGUACAAGCUCAAGAAUCACGCCAGUGGGAUCAGAAUACUAUCAUGAUCAGCUGUCGAAUCCAAGUGGUCAUGAUCAGAAGCAAGGGCAGCAGUGGCAGCAGCAAGAAAUGUUUGAGAAAUUACGGAUUAAUAGUACAAAGAACAUGCAGAGUGGGGGGCUGGAUGAUUUCGGGAUCGAUGAUAUGCAUGGACUCAUUAAUGAAUCUUCUUCAUUCAGUAGCAGUGUUAAUAAACAGGAUGGCAACUAUUACUUUUAAUAAGGGUAUCUGGAAAUUCAUCAGCUGCAAUGUAAAUAGUAAAUACAUAUUAUUUGCUUCUAAAUAGAAAUUGUAGCAGGCUCGAGGAUGAUCAUCGAUAUCAUAUAGUUCCUUCUGCAGGAAACUUAUGCAUUCUUUCUGUUUGUUAUUCGUUAUUUUAUUUUGUGCUGUUGCAAUAUAAAAGUAGUUUCACUUGAUUUAAUUAUCAGGAACCACCUGAUUUCAACUCGAACUUGAUGUAAAAAACAGUUAUGAUUUUACGAAGUUUCAGAAACAGGAUUGCAACAAAGGAACCGGGGAAACUACAAGGAAUUAUCUCAUGCUCUAAGACAGGAAGUUAGGAAACAGAGGUAAUAGAGCCCAAGUAAAGAUGACAAACUUCACAACCUCAGUAAAUUACAGAACAUAAAACCAAUCAAGAAAAAUCUUAAGUCUUAACCACAAUAGUGAACCACCAGAUCCAUGCAAAUCUCAGAAUAUAAAAGAAAGAAAUCACAUAUAUACAAUGUUAAGGAAAAUGGAACCCCAAAUAAUCUACAAAAACAAGUCCUAACCAUAAUAGUGAACCAUAAAAAAAAUGCAGAAUUCAAAAAUAUACUACAAGUACUCCCGGUGACAAUGUUCAUCAGUACUGAUGGAACUUAAAAAGCAACUUCGUCAGUAAUUAAGUUGAGAACGUACCUUCUUGGGGAUUACUGUAGUUGCCAAAACCAUAACCGAGAGGCCGUUUGGUUUUUAAGUCUCAACGCGUAGAUAGUUCUG